UACGUAGGGCGCAAGCGUUAUCCGGAUUUAUUGGGCGUAAAGAGCUCGUAGGCGGUUUGUCGCGUCGGCCGUGAAAUCUCCACGCUUAACGUGGAGCGUGCGGUCGAUACGGGCAGACUUGAGUUCGGUAGGGGAGACUGGAAUUCCUGGUGUAGCGGUGAAAUGCGCAGAUAUCAGGAGGAACACCGGUGGCGAAGGCGGGUCUCUGGGCCGAUACUGACGCUGAGGAGCGAAAGCGUGGGGAGCGAACAGG
Molecule: ribosomal RNA, 253 nt
Filed under: uncultured bacterium
Lineage: Bacteria
Description: partial 16S ribosomal RNA
Rfam family: Bacterial small subunit ribosomal RNA
Source: RNAcentral